GCUAGGGCUCUGGUGGUGUGCUGACGCAGUCCAUACCAUCUAAUCCCAUGGCCACGUUCUAAUCUGGUCCCUUGAUUGUGAUUACCAUUGCUACACGUGCAUUGACUAAGGCCCAUGGUGGAUGUUAUGCGCGUGGCCAUCAGAUCUGUCACCUCAAUUAAUGAGAGAUAUUUGAUGACCCUUGUUUUUCUGAUUAAUUCUAUUUUUCCAAAUUAUUUU
Molecule: long non-coding RNA, 219 nt
Filed under: Lathyrus oleraceus (garden pea)
Lineage: Eukaryota; Viridiplantae; Streptophyta; Magnoliopsida; Fabales; Fabaceae
Description: Pisum sativum (pea) long non-coding RNA (PSAT_LNC005059)
Source: RNAcentral